GAUGAACGCUGGCGGCGUGCCUAAUACAUGCAAGUCGAACGCUUCACUUCGGUGAAGAGUGGCGAACGGGUGAGUAAUACAUAAGUAACCUGGCAUCUACAGGGGGAUAACUGAUGGAAACGUCAGCUAAGACCGCAUAGGUGUAGAGAUCGCAUGAACUCUAUAUGAAAAGUGCUACGGGACUGGUAGAUGAUGGACUUAUGGCGCAUUAGCUUGUUGGUAGGGUAACGGCCUACCAAGGCGACGAUGCGUAGCCGACCUGAGAGGGUGACCGGCCACACUGGAACUGAGACACGGCCCAGACUCCUACGGGAGGCAGCAGUAGGGAAUUUUCGGCAAUGGGGGAAACCCUGACCGAGCAACGCCGCGUGAAUGAAGAAGUAAUUCGUUAUGUAAACUUCUGUCAUAGAGGAAGAACGGUGGAUAUAGGGAAUGAUAUCAAAGUGACGGUACUCUAUAAGAAAGCCACGGCUAACUACGUG
RNAcentral lists this ribosomal RNA (482 nucleotides) under uncultured bacterium. RNAcentral's name for it is "partial 16S ribosomal RNA". It matches the Rfam family "Bacterial small subunit ribosomal RNA", at positions 28 to 507 of the family's 1533-position model. The record is from RNAcentral.